This 670-nucleotide ribosomal RNA is filed under the name Microbacterium sp. RNE 12. Its description in RNAcentral is "bacterial SSU rRNA". It matches the Rfam family "Bacterial small subunit ribosomal RNA", at positions 552 to 1220 of the family's 1533-position model. Lineage: Bacteria; Bacillati; Actinomycetota; Actinomycetes; Micrococcales; Microbacteriaceae. The record is from RNAcentral.
UAUUGGGCGUAAAGAGCUCGUAGGCGGUUUGUCGCGUCUGCUGUGAAAUCCCGAGGCUCAACCUCGGGCCUGCAGUGGGUACGGGCAGACUAGAGUGCGGUAGGGGAGAUUGGAAUUCCUGGUGUAGCGGUGGAAUGCGCAGAUAUCAGGAGGAACACCGAUGGCGAAGGCAGAUCUCUGGGCCGUAACUGACGCUGAGGAGCGAAAGGGUGGGGAGCAAACAGGCUUAGAUACCCUGGUAGUCCACCCCGUAAACGUUGGGAACUAGUUGUGGGGUCCAUUCCACGGAUUCCGUGACGCAGCUAACGCAUUAAGUUCCCCGCCUGGGGAGUACGGCCGCAAGGCUAAAACUCAAAGGAAUUGACGGGGACCCGCACAAGCGGCGGAGCAUGCGGAUUAAUUCGAUGCAACGCGAAGAACCUUACCAAGGCUUGACAUAUACGAGAACGGGCCAGAAAUGGUCAACUCUUUGGACACUCGUAAACAGGUGGUGCAUGGUUGUCGUCAGCUCGUGUCGUGAGAUGUUGGGUUAAGUCCCGCAACGAGCGCAACCCUCGUUCUAUGUUGCCAGCACGUAAUGGUGGGAACUCAUGGGAUACUGCCGGGGUCAACUCGGAGGAAGGUGGGGAUGACGUCAAAUCAUCAUGCCCCUUAUGUCUUGGGCUUCACG